UGGUGUGAGGUGGUCACAUGAGUUGCAGUGCGAUAUGGGAAUAUGCUGCAUCCCGUGUGACCUCCCUACACGGU
Ornithorhynchus anatinus (platypus) is the source of this 74-nucleotide non-coding RNA. NCBI's taxonomy places the organism in Eukaryota, Metazoa, Chordata, Mammalia, Monotremata, Ornithorhynchidae. The record is from Rfam.